AGAGCGAACGCUGGCGGCAGGCCUAACACAUGCAAGUCGAGCGCCCGUAGCAAUACGGGAGCGGCAGACGGGAUAGUAACACGUGGGAACGCGCCCUUCGGUUCGGAAUAACUCAGGGAAACUUGAGCUAAUACCGGAUACGCCCUUACGGGGAAAGAUUUAUUGCCGAAGGAACGGCCUGCGCAUGAUUAGCUUGUUGGUGAGGUAAAAGCUCACCAAGGCAGUGAUCAUUAGCUGGUCUGAGAGGAUGACCAGCCAGACUGGGACUGAGAACGGCCCAGACUCCUACGGGAGGCAGCAGUAGGGAAUUUCCACAAUGGGCGAAAGCCUGAUGGAGCAACGCCGCGUGCAGGAUGAAGGCUCUAGGGUCGUAAACUGCUUUUAUCUGUGACGAUAUGACGGUAGCAGAUGAAUAGGAUCGGCUAACUCCGUGCCAGCAGCCGC
RNAcentral lists this ribosomal RNA (444 nucleotides) under uncultured bacterium. Its description in RNAcentral is "SSU rRNA". It matches the Rfam family "Bacterial small subunit ribosomal RNA", at positions 26 to 518 of the family's 1533-position model. The record is from RNAcentral.